Molecule: long non-coding RNA, 2826 nt
Filed under: Sus scrofa (pig)
Lineage: Eukaryota; Metazoa; Chordata; Mammalia; Artiodactyla; Suidae
Description: lncRNA (ENSSSCG00055017607.1)
Source: RNAcentral
AUGUCUUCCUCCUGUGGGUGUUUCGAGGGUCUGGCCUCAUCAGCACCUCCACUCUCUCCUUAUCUGCCCCCAGGGACACCAAGUGGAGGGGGAAGGAAGCCACCUCCCAGCCUUUGGGGAAUGCUGGGGACCUGGAGGCAGGAUGCUGAGGCAGCAGAAGCAGCACCCCAGGCUGGAGGGCAGGGUGCGGAGCCCCCUUGGUGCGGCUUCCAGGACAGAGCACCUGCUCCUGGACGAGAUGGACGAGAUGGAAAACUGGCUUCCAGAGUGAAGCUGGGGCUGCCGUGCCUGCCCUACCCCAAACCGCUGCCCUGGGGAAUGUCGCCCCUCCUCACAGGGCUGGUCAGAGAGCCCUGGGGCCAAGGGGUCUUAAGAUACAUGGUGUUCCUGUGUCUGCAGGGUGGGCCUGCACAGCAUACUCUCCCCACCUAUCAGACCCAGGCCUCGGAUGUUCAAAUAAAACUGUUUGACUUUGGCCUCCUUGGCUGCCUGUCUGGGCCCCACCCCCACCCACAACCUGGGGACAAGCUCAGUUCCUGCAGGGUCUCCAUCGAGUCUAGUGGCCCAGGUUUGGUGCACCUGGCCUGGGGGCGGGGAGCCUUGCGGCCACAAGACCUGCCCCUCCUGCCUAAGUUCCUCAGAGGGAGGAUCCGGGAAUUCUCCUUACAGGAAGUCCCUGCCCAGCCAGUACAGGGACAAAGCCAGGAAAGCAGCCCUGGGGCCAUGGGAACCUGCCUCAGGCUGGGCUGGGGGCAGGUGAGGGGUCCCUGCCAGGCGCAGUGCCAGGCACCUCUGGGGAUCUGGGUGGAGGCAUCUGGAGGGCCCAGGUCUGCCCAGGCCCAGAAGCAACCUGGCUUUGUUGGGAUCCAGUGGGAGGGUGGGCCCUGCCCAGCUUAGACACCUGGAGGUCCUGCUGGCUCCUGGUAGGACCCUGGUGCCUUUGGUCCCCCGCUGGUCCAGGCCCUGAGUCUCCACACACGUGCGAGAGCUCGCAUCGCCUGCCCGACUCCUAUCAGCACAACUGCUGUGCACAGAAGCUGGCCUGGCUUCCCCGUGGGGCCCCCUCUGGGUCUAGCCCUCGGCCUGUGGCAGAGCUGAAGUUCAGUGUCAGAGCAGGCAGCCACUCUGAAUUAUUGCUGUGAUUGGUCCCAACAGCUCUCGGGUGGGUGGAUGGCCUUGCUUGGGGUUGGGGGAGGGAACUCCAGCAACCUGGCCUCCUGCCGCAGCCCUGCCCAGCCUAGUGAGGAUGGGGGGUCCCGGCCAGCCGCUGGGGCGGGGGUUGGGGGGAGACCUGGAGAAGGUAGUGAUUCACAAGUGGGCUGGGGCUUCUUUUUCUCCUGGGCUUCCCGGUCAACCCCCACCCCUGGAAUCCUUGACUCAGGCUCUGAGGUGGAGCUGGUGGAAGGGCCCAUCUGGACGGUCCCCUGAGUCAGCCGGGAGCAGCCUUGUGACCAUAUGACUCACCUGUGCCCUGAUUACUUCCUCCCAGAGUCUCAGCUGUUGGGAAGGGGGAGCUGUGGAGGGAGGCCUGUGGGCUCCCUGGUUGCGCAUAGACUCCUCUCUGCCUUCCCCCUUCCUAAUGGACCCCCAGACCCGCUGCCAGCCACACCUGGGCUGGAGGGGGUCUCCGGGCCGCCCCCUGCCCCGUUGCCUCCUGGGUGGGGCCAGCCAGCAGCUCCUGGGCACCAGCAGGCAGCAAGUGAGCCACUUGGCCGCUCAGAGAGAGCAUCUCAUCCUCGGACCCCACAAGGUUGGGGCUACCGGGGGUGAGGGGAACUGCUCCUCUCUGCUCCUCUUCCCUUGCUGUUGAGGGAAGCUCAUGGCUCCUCCGUGUCCCCCCCACCCCCUAUUCCUACAAAACUAGGGGUAGGAAGGUCCAAGGCUGGGGGGCGAUGACAGCUGGCUCCUGGACAGCUUUCUGUGGGCCUGGCCUGAAGCUCACAAGUGGCGAAGGCGGGGUGAGGUGGCCCAGGGGGAGGGGAGGCCCAGGGGCAGGGGCAGAGUGCUGGGCGCAGGCUCGCUGCCCACACGGAGACGUGCCGGGUGUUCCUGCAAGGUUUUGAGGGGACCCUGCAGAUGCAUCUGUGGGUCUGAUCUAUGACAGGGCAGGGUUUAGAGUUGUCUCCUCCUCCCCUCCAGGUGUGGCUCAAAUACUUAUUAAUCACCUACUCCAUCCUGUUCUAGGCCCGGGGAACAGAGCAGGGAACAACAUACAAAACCUUCAUGGUUCUGAGCAUUUGUUACUGCUGCUGUCGCAGACCUGGAGGGACAGGUACUAUGAGGAAAAAGGUGAGCCUGAGUCAGGGGUGCUGCUUCAGAAAGAUGGGAUGAGAAAGGACUCUCUGAGGAGGUCAGGAAUUGAGUCAGGAGCUGUGGGGAUGUUGGGGAAGGGCUUUCCAGCAGAGGGAACAGCAAGGGCAGAUGCCCUGAGGCAGAGCAGGCCUGGGGUGUUUGAGGCACCAGGAGAUUGUGGCAGAGCAGAGCCAGGGGGAGGAGGAGUAAUAGGGGUGCGAUCCGGAGGGAGGGAGAUCAUGGUCUUUGCUGAUCUCGUUUUGGGGGGUUAUUUUAUCAGACUGAGGAGUAACCUGAUGUGGUUUACAUUUUAAAGUCUCCCUUGGGAGUCCCCUCUCUGGUACAGCGGGUUAAGAACCUGACUGCGGUGGCUCCGGUUGCUGCAGAGGCAUGGAUUCAAUCCUCAGCCAGGUGCAAUGGGUUAAGGAUCCAGUGUUGCCACAGUUGCACUCAGAUUCAGUCCCUGGCCUAGAACUUCCAUAUGCCAUGGGUGCGGCCAUUAAAAAAUAAUAAUAAAAAUGUGAGGAGUUCCCA